Acanthosepion pharaonis is the source of this 114-nucleotide non-coding RNA. The record is from the annotation of a GenBank genome assembly. NCBI's taxonomy places the organism in Eukaryota, Metazoa, Mollusca, Cephalopoda, Sepiida, Sepiidae.
UUAUGGCCAUAACAUGUUGAAAUACCGGUUCUCGUUCGAUCACCGAAGUUAAGCAAUGUCGAGCCUGAUCGGUCCCUAGAUGAGUGACCGCUUGGGAAUACGAAGUACUGUAAG